This 497-nucleotide ribosomal RNA is filed under the name uncultured bacterium. RNAcentral's name for it is "partial 16S ribosomal RNA". It matches the Rfam family "Bacterial small subunit ribosomal RNA", at positions 28 to 507 of the family's 1533-position model. The record is from RNAcentral.
GAUGAACGCUGGCGGCGUGCCUAAUACAUGCAAGUCGAGCGAACAGACGAGGAGCUUGCUCCUCUGACGUUAGCGGCAGACGGGUGAGUAACACGUGGAUAACCUACCUAUAAGACUGGGAUAACUUCGGGAAACCGGAGCUAAUACCGGAUAAUAUAUUGAACCGCAUGGUUCAAUAGUGAAAGACGGUUUUGCUGUCCCUUAUAGAUGGAUCCGCGCCGCAUUAGCUAGUUGGUAAGGUAACGGCUUACCAAGGCGACGAUGCGUAGCCGACCUGGGAGGGUGAUCGGCCACACUGGAAGUGAGACACGGUCCAGACUCCUACGGGAGGCAGCAGUAGGGAAUCUUCCGCAAUGGGCGAAAGCCUGACGGAGCAAGGCCGCGUGAGUGAUGAAGGUCUUCGGAUCGUAAAACUCUGUUAUUAGGGAAGAACAAAUGUGUAAGUAACUAUGCACGUCUUGACGGUACCUAAUCAGAAAGCCACGGCUAACUACGUG